UAUAUAUGCAAAUCAUAUAGAACAUUUAUCAGCACAUGAAUUCUGGAUUACUGCAUGUAUUGUAAACACAAAGAACACUUGUUACAUGUCUGUAUUGGGCAGGAACUGGGAGCUGCCCAUUUCAUUAAUCAAGAAAGAGCUCAAGAGACUAGCUCUCACAUUCACACUUUGAUAUUAAGCAAAGAGAUGAGGAAUUUAAAAAAAGAAAGAGUUGGAGGCUGCUA
Molecule: long non-coding RNA, 224 nt
Filed under: Solanum tuberosum (potato)
Lineage: Eukaryota; Viridiplantae; Streptophyta; Magnoliopsida; Solanales; Solanaceae
Description: long non-coding RNA (STUB_LNC011388)
Source: RNAcentral